RNAcentral lists this unclassified non-coding RNA (197 nucleotides) under uncultured fungus. RNAcentral describes it as "sequence contains ITS1, 5.8S rRNA gene". Lineage: Eukaryota; Fungi. The record is from RNAcentral.
UCGUACAACGGAGGCGCAAGGGCUGUCGCUGGCCUUCAAAUGUCGUGCACGCUCGAAGCGUCCUCUCGCACAUCCAUCUCACCCCCUUUGUGCAUCACCGCGUGGGUCCUCCUUACGGAGGGCCCGCGUUUUCACAUAAAAACUCGAUUACGGUAUAGAAUGUAUUCCUUUUAGUUUGCGGUUACACGCAAUCAAUA